GAAGACAUGUAGGUGGGAAACGCAGAACACCUGGCAUGGAACAUGCGGACAGUAAUCAUCUAUACACAAGGCAGCAAGCGACGAGAACAGGAGAAAAGUCAGCUGAAUGAAGACUAACACAUACAACGGCGAGUGGGGUACGCUAUUUGUGUUCCAUGCUCUGAGGUGACGGAGACCACUAUAUGCCUGUCGACACCCUCAUCCAUCAGAAGUGUGAAUUCAGUUGGGCACGAGAUUAAGCAAGAUGCCAACUGUUCCCAAGACUCACAUAAACUAAAGCAAGGUGAUUGGGUGGUCACUAAGAAAAAGAAAGUCUCUUGAACCCAGAUUCAAAGGACCGUUUUAAGUUCUGUUGACUACCGCCACUUCAGUCACGUUGAGUGGAAGAGACUCAUGAAUAGACGCAUCUCAUUGCAAGAAAGUGACAAAGGAAGUAUUAUCCAAUCACGAUACAUAAUCAAAAUAUAUAGAUACAAUUUAAGAGGCCCCAGGCCAUAUAAGGGUCUGGGGGAUGUAUAAUGUGUUACUCAGUUCUUCUUGUUGGCAUGGUUAUUCUUAUAUAAACAGUAAUGAUUGAUCCUUACUUAUAUGAGGAGUCAAGUGAUAGUGCAAUAAUCAGUAACUAUGCCAAAAAUAACAGAACAAAAAGGAAUAUAUAUACACAACUAACUACCCUUACUCCACCUGAAAUGUCUACACAUAGGAUGUCAACAAUUACCCAGGUAAAGACAUAUAGGCAUAAAAGAUGCUGGUCAUUACAUGUAAAACAGGACCAAUAUAAAUAGUUGUCACCAAUUGUUUACUGUAUCUGCAGGCUAUUGUGUCACUUUGCAGACCAUGUAUGGAGUAAAAUGUUGUACUUAUUUAAUAAAUUAUACUAGCCCAGAAGAUAUUAUUGAUGAAAAGAUGAAUGAAGUAAUACAGUCGAAAAAUCAGUUCGCUACUAAUCAUAAUUAUACCAGUGUAUUUCCAGAUUCUUUCUUUUCUUGGUUUUAUAAACACUAUACAACCAAUUGCAUUUCAGGAAUAUUAUCUAUUGUUGCUAAGGGACUUGUUUUGCUAUUAAUUGCAUAUUUUAAGGCUUAUUAUGUGGAUACUGACACUAAAAUGUUUUUCUACCUAAGGCAUUGCUGAAACUGCUAAACCGCAACCAAUUUAUAUGAAACUUAUUGGAGGAGCUAUAAUAUACAAUUCCACAUUCUUCUACUGUGAGACCUGCCAUACCAGAUACACAGAAGCUUCCAGCUGUCCCUACUGUUAUGAUGACGUAAUCUAAUGAACUUUGCUGUCACAAUAUUGAGUCAAAAAGACUUUCAAGGACUAUUGAGCAAGGACUAUGGACAUUAUGAUGAUUCCAUCUUCAGAAGAUACCUCUAAUUUAUGAACUCUUAUAAUAAUUUAAAAGUUAGGGAUAAGAGAAUAGGGAACAUUGAUUCUGCAUGAGUAUAGGGGUGUUGAAUGGAUUAGCCCAUGUCUCGAGUGCCCUUAAGGCACACUUGAUGUGAAAGUAGGUGUCCCUAUAGAAUCAAUGGCCAGGUAAAGGAAGGGUAGAAUAGAGGUAAAAAUUGUAAACAAAGAGGGGAAAUUGAUAAAGAUGGAAACCAUCUUUGUUCAUAGACUCCAUAUUGCUAAGCUGUUUAUAAUUGUUUAUCAGAUCAGAGUUGAUAUUGGAAAGAACUGCAAGGCGUUGCACUUUGAGUGAACUAUAUUGAAACCUUCUUAUGAUCUAUUUUUAUUACUUUUCUGAGUAAAAUAUAAAUGUCAGCAGCUAGACAUAUAGGCUUCACAGGUGUCCAGUAGUUUGCGGUAUGGAAGGUGUGAAAACAUAACUAGACAUAGCAUGUCUCACUUUUAGCAAAAUUCCCCUAACUAACCCAUUUAAAAGCACAUACAGUAUAAAAAAUAUAGACGUUGGCAAAUAUAUUACGUAUAAGAUAGGAGUUUUAUUAACCAAUAGGAUUAAGCUUUGUGUAAGGAAAUUACGACACUGUAUGCAAAUAUGUAUUCCUUUAUAAUAUGCUUUUUCCAGGAAAUAAAAUCUGCUUCUGCUUCUGCUAUUUCCUACUUCACUCUCUUUAUUUAACUGGUAACUGGCUGCAGCCAUGAAUGAACCUGAUGCUGACCGAUUGAGUGUGUGCUUGAGCUUGGAUCAGCGAGGGGUGCCCUGUCCUGGGGUUACCUUUAUCACUGGUGUCUAUCAGUUGGUGGCAGAGUCCUCCUCUUUGCUCCUCAAGCAGUUUACAGCCUCCCCAGAUGGGUGGAUUGAG
Pseudophryne corroboree (corroboree frog) is the source of this 2267-nucleotide long non-coding RNA. RefSeq lists it as uncharacterized. The record is from RefSeq and is a predicted model, not a curated record. The transcript is spliced from 3 exons. NCBI's taxonomy places the organism in Eukaryota, Metazoa, Chordata, Amphibia, Anura, Myobatrachidae.